CCUACGGGAGGCUGCAGUGGGGAAUAUUGGACAAUGGGCGCAAGCCUGAUCCAGCAAUGCCGCGUGUGUGAAGAAGGCCUGCGGGUUGUAAAGCACUUUAAGCAGGAAAGAAGGGGUGAAAGUUAAUACCUUUCAUCAUUGACGUUACCUGCAGAAUAAGCACCGGCUAACUCCGUGCCAGCAGCCGCGGUAAUACGGCGGGUGCGAGGGUUAAUCGGCGUUACUGGGCGUAAAGCGCAGGUCGUCGUGAAAGCCCUGGGCUUAACCUGGGAACUGCGGUGGAUACUGUCGGGCUAGAGUGUGGUAGAGGGGAGUGGAAUUUCCGGUGUAGCAGUGAAAUGCGUAGAGAUCGGAAGGAACACCAGUGGCGAAGGCGGCUCCCUGGACUAACACUGACGCUGAGGUGCGAAAGCGUGGGGAGCAAACAGGAUUAGAUACCCCAGUAGUC
This 448-nucleotide ribosomal RNA is filed under the name uncultured bacterium. Its description in RNAcentral is "partial 16S ribosomal RNA". It matches the Rfam family "Bacterial small subunit ribosomal RNA", at positions 338 to 795 of the family's 1533-position model. The record is from RNAcentral.